This is a long non-coding RNA of Bicyclus anynana (squinting bush brown), 1731 nucleotides long. RefSeq lists it as uncharacterized. Lineage: Eukaryota; Metazoa; Arthropoda; Insecta; Lepidoptera; Nymphalidae. The transcript is spliced from 2 exons. The record is from RefSeq and is a predicted model, not a curated record.
GCUUUAAGGUCUGCUAGAUCAUUUAAAUUUUAAAAUCAUUUAUACUUAAUUUAUUAUUUAUUGACUAAAUUAUGAUGCUGGUGAGGUAUGGAUAGUUCUUAUAAAUAAAACAAGCAUCUUUAUGAAUCAAAACACUUUAUUGUUUAUACACCAUCUUUUUAAACAAGUUACAUUUUUCAGGGCACAGAUAGUUGGAUGAUAAAUACAGCUAUAUACAUCGGAAUGUGAAUCAUACAAUUUAUACAAUGUUAACAAACUAGGACAUCCAUUCUCUUCUAAAUUAUGUAUGUUAGGAUUAUUUAUUAUAUGUUUUAGCCAUAACUGCUUUUCAACGCCUUUGCAAUAUAUAUCAUGAUUUUUUAGAAUUGGUAUUAGAUGAGAUUUAUAGUUUUCAUAAGGAAUGGAUCCCUGAUGCCAUAAUAUUUUUCUAUUCCUUUCAAGCCAAUUAACCUGUUUCUUUUCUGUAUCUGUUAACCAUUCAUAGGGAUAUGGUGGUUUGAUUAAAAAAACUUGAAUCCGAUCACUGUACACUAAAGCAAUCUCUUUAGGUAGAAAGUAAUUAUCAUCAUUUUUAAAACCUUGAACAUCCACAAUGAUUUUCAUGAUAGUUUUCGUACUAUGUUACUCAGCGGUCUAUACUCUACAAGACGAUCAUUUAUAAUUAAACAGUAAGCGCUGGUAUUGCUGGGAAUAUCCUGAGAUGUUUCAAUUUCUAGACGAACAUCAACUGGACCAGUUUUUAAAUUUUCAUUUUGCCUGGAACAGUCUAUGACAAAUAAUGGGGCCUUUUCCUUAAAUGUAUGCAAAUCAAGCAACGGAUCGAUAGGAAGGUUAUAAAACGACUAGUAUCUAUAUAAUUUAUUUCUAAAGAAUCGGCUUGUUUGAUCAACUUCAUUAUUAUUUGUGACAUACUUUUUAGAUUACUCAUUAUUAAGUACUGCAAUCAUGUUUAGACUUGUCUAUCUUGUUUGAAAUUCUUGCAUAAAACUUGUUAAAUAUAAUUAAAUCAAAGCAUCAUAGUCUUAUUUAUCAAUUUCAAAUGACUUCAGUAUUGUUUCUUGUUUACCAUACCUUGCAUAAGGAUGAUCAUAUUACAUUCUUACACAAUAAGUUAAAUUACAAAUUAAAUAUUUAUUCUCAGAUCAGUUCUCGCAAGGAGCACACUGAUUUUUCACAAACUUCAAUCUCGUCUUCCUGAAUAAUGGCGAACUUUUAUAAUAUUGAUGAAAAUGAUCAAAUGAUCAAAGCAUGUGAAAACAUUGACCCAUUUUUUGGAAAUUGUGCUCAAGAUGUGAAUGCUAUACUAGAGAAAGAAGAACGAGAUAGGUUAAAAUUUAUAACUGAACAAGAGAAAACGAAGUCACUUCAAAAUAUUAAACAGAUGAGUAAACUAUCUUUGAAAAGAAAAUGUCCAAAGGUAGACAAACAAAUAUACAUGUCAGAUUCUUCUUUUAUUAUUAGAAAAAACAAGACGAAGGCGCAUCAUAUAAUCAAAAUUGAAAUUCUCGAAAUAAACCAUGGCGUUCAGGAAAAUAAUGUAAAUAGUCAAGUAAGUGUGCAGUAUGUAGUGACAGACAAUUACGAUAACAUAAUGUAUUCAGCUGAAGAAUUAAUUAAUAAGAUUAUGCAGAAAUUAAGUUUGCCAGAAUCAUUGUAAGUGAAUAGAUUGUCAUUGAAAUUAUUAUUUUAUAAAAUAAUUGUUUGAUUACAUAAUAAACGAUUUUAAAAUUA